AUUGAACGCUGGCGGCAGGCCUAACACAUGCAAGUCGAACGGUAACAGGAAGCAGCUUGCUGCUUCGCUGACGAGUGGCGGACGGGUGAGUAAUGUCUGGGAAGCUGCCUGAUGGAGGGGGAUAACUACUGGAAACGGUAGCUAAUACCGCAUAAUGCCGCAAGACCAAAGAGGGGGACCUUCGGGCCUCUUGCCAUCGGAUGUGCCCAGAUGGGAUUAGCUUGUUGGUGGGGUAACGGCUCACCAAGGCGGCGAUCCCUAGCUGAUCUGAGAGGAGGACCAGCCACACUGGAACUGAGACACGGACCAGACUCCUACGGGAGGCAGCAGUGGGGAAUAUUGCACAGUGGGCGCAAGCCUGAUGCAGCCAUGCCGCGUGUAUGAAGGAGGCCUUCGGGUUGUGAAGUACUUUCAGCGGGGAGGAAGGGAGUAAAGUUAAUACCUAUGGUCAUUGACGUUACCCGCAGAAGAAGCACCGGCUAACUCCGUG
RNAcentral lists this ribosomal RNA (490 nucleotides) under uncultured bacterium. RNAcentral describes it as "partial 16S ribosomal RNA". It matches the Rfam family "Bacterial small subunit ribosomal RNA", at positions 30 to 507 of the family's 1533-position model. The record is from RNAcentral.